This 45-nucleotide non-coding RNA is filed under the name Schistosoma margrebowiei. Lineage: Eukaryota; Metazoa; Platyhelminthes; Trematoda; Strigeidida; Schistosomatidae. The record is from RNAcentral.
AUUCAGCCUAUGAGUCUCAAAUAGGACGAAACACGCGUCUCGGAU